Long non-coding RNA from Hyla sarda, 396 nucleotides. RefSeq lists it as uncharacterized. The record is from RefSeq and is a predicted model, not a curated record. The transcript is spliced from 3 exons. NCBI's taxonomy places the organism in Eukaryota, Metazoa, Chordata, Amphibia, Anura, Hylidae.
CGUGGCCUUCCAGCGGAAGUGACGUGUCACCUGACCUAGUGAGCCGCUGACCUUGGUUCUGAUGUAUCUGCGGCAGGGGAGGCUGCAGUGUCCUUCUAGCUGCGAGUCCUGAGGCGGAGCAGGCGGCUCCAUCUUCUCUAUUAUACCUCAGCAACUCUACCGGUAUGCCCACUGCAUUUCUACAUGCAAGAUUGCGGGAGAACAGAAUGAUAGCAACACUUUAAACAAUAGAGAAAUGCUGCAUGGAUCUGCAAGGCUUAUGAAGAAACCGCAAGCCGCUGUGGUAAGGGCUAUUGAUUGACCUCAUCCAUUGCUCUCUAUUCAUCACAUAUAUAAAAUACAGAUGAGAAUGAUCAAUACUUUUGAAUUUAUGUGAAUAAACUUCUCCUGGGUAUA